UUGUAUCCCAUGUUAGAUUGCUGUGAAACGGAUCUGAACGUUAGUCCAGAGCUUAAAGAUUGGCACAUUGGGGUCAUUGUUUUUUUUUUUCCAGAAAGGUAGAACCCCAAUUACUGUGAGAUUUCGAUUGGUUAAUUGGCAAACAUAUUCUCACGGAUUUUAAAUUGUCGCGUUUAAGGUUUUAUCCCCUGUAUAAAUGUUGUUUAACUACUCACAACGUAAGUCCGACCUGCAAAAGUCGGCAAACUAGGGUCAUUGUGUAUUUCAUUUUCCAGAAAAGUGAAUUUUUAAUUACUCUUUCUGAUCAAUUUGCAUGAUGUAUUUUAAUUAAACAUUCUCGUGAAUUGUAAUUUGUAACAUGUUAGAUCAGCAAUUUGUUUUUUAAUAGCAAAGUAUUAAGCAUUAGUUACAGCGAGUUUACGGUUGUUUAAUUGACGCAGGGCAUUUGUCAUUAUAUACUCUUGAAGAACUGAAUUCGUUGUCACUCUUGUAAGGUAAAAUUGUUGUACAUGUGUAUUAGUGCCGAACGUAAGCCCGACCAGCACAAGAUUGGCACGCAACUUUGGGUCUUUUUUUCUAGGAAUGUAAAGUUUCAGGUACAGUGAGUUUACAAUCAGGGAAUUGGUUCGUGACAUUCUGAAAACUACAUUUUUGUGGAUUUUAAUUCGUUGGGUGCGUAAGUAAGCACCGAAGGCCUAGUGCAACCUGUCUCUGUCGUUGCGAUUGGCCACACCAACCGCAGUUCACUGUUACCCAAUACUGCGUACAGUGGCCAUCCAUGUAAAGAAAAUCUCUGACUAAUUCCCUCGUGGUAAUUCAUUUUCAUUCGGCACUAUUAAUAUGCGCUGCUGAGUUUCCAACACAUCGUAGGACUCAAUGAGGCAACAGGUCUUGCGGAAGUAGAUCGUAUGCUGACUUAAAGUCUUCAAUUCAAACCCUUCCUAUGUAGUCUGCUGUAUUAUUCAGAGGACCAUUGGGGAAUCCCAGAUUGAUCGUUAUUAUUCAACCUGCAUGUUGUAGUUAGGCUUAGUGUGGUUUACUUUUAUCAAACAAAUGACAGCAAGGCCUACUAAAAAUAUAUAAAAAUCACUUAGGCAUGGAUGAAUAGGCAGGGCUAGACCCAGAGGUAAUGUGUAAGACUUGUUCUGGUGAUGAAUGAUAGUCACAUGUAUUUAUAUUGAAUCUAGCCAGCUUUGGCGAGUGUUUUUGUUUUCAUAUCAACAGCCAGACUGUACCACACCGGGCAAGGACUACUUAGCGACAGUGUGUCUUACUGAGGGAGGAGAGUUGGCCAGGACGGAUUUCGGUAAUGGUGCAAAGCAAUUUAAACAUGGAAGAUCUGGAUGGUGACUUCAACCCUGUUUGUCAUGCCCAUCUUUUGGAAUUCUGGUGGUGAGUCUCCCAAAUCACAACUUCGAAAUUUUCAUUUUGCUCACUUUUUUCCAGUCUUUCCGUUUUGCACAAUACAGAGCUUUGGAUCCUUCGAGAUAGUUUUCUACACAUAUGGGAUGUGGAUGACUGGACGAUAGGCGCCGAAUUCUUGCCGAACUUCAUACACUGGAUGCUGUCCACUCGACCAGCAGCACUCUCCACGUGAUCUUUACCCCAAGCCCAUCAAAGAAGCCAGGGCACUGUACAAGGCAAGAACUACCUUCCCACCCGUAUGUCUUGCUGGCGGAAGAUGGACAUUUAACAAGACGGAGCCAUUGGAAGACGAUGAGCGAGUGGAACUAGGAAGAACUGGGUGGAGAUUUUUACUCUUUGCUUGAUUUGGGCGCCAUUUGGAAUUCUUAGGAAUGCAGAGCUUUGUCGGGCAGUUUGAGAUGGUUUACCACUUAGCGGGACGUGGAUCACUGGACGAGGAGCAGAAUCUACCUUGCUGCACACUGCACAGCGCACAACUGUCGGCCGAACUUCCUCAUCACUAACCAGAUCUUUCCUGUCGGCCCGUCAAGGUUCCUGAGGACCGACUCGAAGACACUUGUGUUUGAUCGUCGAUCAGCGUAGGGAGCUGCUCUGUACUCGUCCCACUCAACUUGGACGCGUUCUCUUAUCAUUCCGAAGAGGGAAUUUUCACCGCGUUUUUUGUGAAAAUUCACUCUGUGUGAAACUAAGGACAAGAUAUAUCCAGGGUGUUCUUUGUUCACUCUAACUUGUCUUGUCAUUAGUUCCAAUCUUUGUAAAUAUGAGUAUUGGCUCAGUGUACACAGUUCGCAACACACUACAUUUGUUGUCAAGUUUUUACACGCAUUUUGAUUAAUUUUGUUCAAAUACGAUUUCAACUUGUCAGUAUUUGUGGCAACAAUUGUUUUCUAUUACACUGAUAAACCGAUACAUCCACUUCCAAUUAAAUGAAAAGUAAUCAAGCAUAUCAAAAGCUAAGUAAUGAUAUUUUAAAAACAAAAUGCUGCAAAAAUGAGAAGAAUAUUAAUAACUUUCAGUCGAAGUGUGUGUAAACGUUCGUCCAAAUCUCUAUCUACUUUUGAAAAAUUUCAUGCUAAUGAAAAGAUAUCUAAAACUAUUUCCUGGUUUAAACAUUUAUCUACUAAGCCAAUGUAUGAAGCCCAGGAAGAAACCCGUUGGAACUAUUACUUUAAAUGUUAUUUGGUGUGUAGAAAUUUUAUUUCUUUUCCAAAAUUCCAAAUUCGUUCGCUCGCUCCAAUUACUCCAGUCAAUUGCACAAGUUGGUAAUUCGUGCCCACGAAUUACCAAUUUGUUGGCAAGAAUCAUCAGUUAGUUUCCAUGAAUUACUAAUACGUAGGCCCAAAUUAGUCUUAGUGAUUUGUUCGAACUUUAACUUGUCAAUGAAGUACGUUUGCACAGAUUACUCAUUUACUUGCAUGAAUUGCUUCAGUAAUUCUUUAGCAAAAAAUUAGUAGUUUUUCUUUGUAAGAAUUACGCCAGUAGUUCAUUAGCAACAAUUGUUAAUCCAUUCCAUUAGAAUUAAUUACUCCCUCGCACAAAUUACGAAAUUUGUUUGCUUGAAUUGCUCAGGAAGUUUCUGCGGAAACUAGUAGUUCGUGGAAAAGUUUCCAAGUCGUUCGCAAGAAUUAAGAUUUGCUUGCAUGAAUUUACGUUCGUUCCAACGAAUCUCUCCUGUGAUUUGACACAAAUCAGUAAUUUGUUUUUAUCCACAAAUUACUAAUUCACUCGCACGGGUCACUCAGUAAUCCACUCAAAUAAAUCAGUAAUUUGACCCCAUGAAGACUAAUUCGUGUGCAAAAAUGUUUUAUUUGUUCACACAAAUCUCAGAAGUAAUUCAUGUUUGCGCUCUAAUAAUUGUUAGCACAAAUUACUCCAGUGCCACAUUUACACACAUUAAUAAAGGUUUUCCACGAAUUACUAAUUUGUUAAGCACACGUUAAUAAUUUCUUUGCGCAAAUUAGUAAUCCAAGACACUAAUUUGAUUCUUCGGAAUGAAUAUAGUACUCGCUACAAUUUAAAAUUACAAAGUGAAUAACAUUUCAUCCAGUCCUUUCCUGGGGUAUCAAUAUUGUGUAAAAAAAAAAACGAUUUUGCGCAAAUUGACGCCCUACGUUCACUGCAUAUCUGUUAUCAGAGGACCAUUACACCAACACUUUUCACUUGUGUUAAAAAAUUUUGGUGUUAUUUGGUUUUACAUUUAGCACCCUCCAGUGCAUUGUAGCAGUUACAGGUGUACAAAGUAAUACCUUAUGGUGUGGUCAUCUGAUAACACCAAAAGUAUUGAUUUUAACACCACAGUUUUUGCAGUGUACGAUUACUAAAUUUGUUUAUGCAAAUUACAAUCUUUCUGUAACGUCAGAAGAAGCAACAACAGGUCAUUAUAAAAUGUAAAUUCUUUGUAAUAUCAUCUCGACGACUAGUUCAAAUAAUUCAUUUUCAUGAUAAAUCUCCCGCUCCGAAACUACUCUAAAAUUUGGAAUCACUGUUAACGCCCUCACUGCCUUAAAUACUUUAUAGAUUAACAAUCUUUAAAGGAGACAAAACUGGCAAAAAAGUGCCGUUGAUAUAGAUCAUUCAAUAUUACGGGCAUUUGCUUAAGCGCAAGUAUUAGAUAGGGGAUGGUUACACUUGUGAGAAUGGGUGCAAACGAUUUCGAAAUCGAAAGUAGCCAUCUCCCCGUUGAAGAGGGACCCCGAAAUGUACGUUUCUAAAGGCAUUUGUCCUUGAUAUGACCAAAGUUAGAUAUUUGCACUACGAGUUUCACAUAUUGUUCAGAUUUGUCAUGUUGAAAUGUAAGAAUACGGGAACAAUGUUCUGAUAACCUGAAUGAAAACUUGACAUUUAAUAUGAAAGAAGAAUAAAAGAAAAUGAAAUAAGAAUAAAAGGGUUAAAAAA
This is a long non-coding RNA of Acanthaster planci (crown-of-thorns starfish), 4320 nucleotides long. RefSeq lists it as uncharacterized. The record is from RefSeq and is a predicted model, not a curated record. NCBI's taxonomy places the organism in Eukaryota, Metazoa, Echinodermata, Asteroidea, Valvatida, Acanthasteridae.